AAGUCGUAACAAGGUUUCCGUAGGUGAACCUGCGGAAGGAUCAUUAGUGAUUUAACCAAAAAGUUGUUUUUAGUUCUUUUAUGUGUUUAUUCAAACAUGUAAUUUUACUUACUCAACCGACCACCAUUUGUGAACAUGAAACCAAAAUAACAAGAAGAAAUUUAUUUUUCUUUCUUGUUAGCAAAAAAAAAACAAAGAGUUUUAAUUUUAUUCCAUAACACAUUGUCUAAGCUAUUUCAUAGACUUAUAAUCUAUUAAAACAACUAUUAACAAUGGAUCCCUUGGCUCUUA
RNAcentral lists this unclassified non-coding RNA (291 nucleotides) under fungal sp. Its description in RNAcentral is "partial internal transcribed spacer region". The stretch from base 1 to 46 matches the Rfam family "Eukaryotic small subunit ribosomal RNA", at positions 1786 to 1831 of the family's 1831-position model. Lineage: Eukaryota; Fungi. The record is from RNAcentral.